Molecule: non-coding RNA, 49 nt
Organism: Schistosoma rodhaini
Lineage: Eukaryota; Metazoa; Platyhelminthes; Trematoda; Strigeidida; Schistosomatidae
Source: Rfam
AUCUAGCUAACGAGUCUCAAAUAGAACUGAAACGCGCGUCAAACUAGAU